RNAcentral lists this unclassified non-coding RNA (712 nucleotides) under Hevea brasiliensis (rubber tree). Lineage: Eukaryota; Viridiplantae; Streptophyta; Magnoliopsida; Malpighiales; Euphorbiaceae. The record is from RNAcentral.
UCUGAAAUUGUACAGAUACCCUUAUAUUGGAUUUCUCAAUGAUGCUAGUCUUAUUUUAGGAUCACAUACUCCUAAAAUUUAUCCCAUGGAAUUGAAUACUUGAUCUUUUACAGAUAUUGGCUUUCUCAAUGAUGCUAGUCUUAUGUUAGGGUCACGGAUUCCUAUCAAUUUAUCCUGUGGAAUUGAAUAAUUGUUCUUGUACAUAUACCCUUCUAUUGGAUUUCUCAGUGAUGCUAGUCUUAUCUUAGGAUCACAGACUCCCAUCAAUUUAUCCUGUGGAUUUGAAUACUUGGUCUUGAUUUCCAUGUUUUUUUCUUUUUUCUUGGAGUAGUUUUGCCGGCUUUCUGAGUUCUGCUUUUCUGUUAAAUGUUGGAGAAAUUAGCUUUUACAUUAUUCUUGCAUUUCUUUCAUAUAAAUAUGUUGUCCUCCGAAUAAUAUUGUAAUGCCAAUUUGGUAUCUUGUAGUGCUUCAUCUUUGCUGCAUUAUUUGCAUUCAAUUCAGUUUUGUGACGUUUUGAAAUCUGAUGCUUUGGACCUAUGAGGAAAGCAGUUGCUCUGUAAUAUAGUUCAACUCUGAUGCGUUGCAUUCAAUUCUGUAAUCUGAUGCCAAUUAACUCAUGCUUCUGUUUAAUAUAGUUAAGCAAUUUGGUCUGGCAUCUUGCAUUUCUAACUGGGAUGGUUGAAUUGGUGUUGCAGGGUGGAGCUGCAGUGUG